CCCUGGCUGCCCCUCUGCCCUAGGGCGGCAGCGGCCGAGAACUGUCACCCCGUAGGCCGAGUCCGGUUGGGCUCGGCCCGGGUGGCAGCCGGGCCUGGGCUUGGGUUCCUUGGUCCGGCCCGCGGCCCAUGGGUCCAGCCCGCGGCCCGUGGGUCCGGCCUAGGGUUUUGUUGUUUUCUUCUUCUUGCCCGAUCUUCCUCCUUGUGCCGGUGUGCUCCCCUCUGUUCCAUGAAUGGAACAGAGAGGAGAACACCCCCACCGAGGGGGUUCCUCCCCUCUUCUCUCGCUUUAGUCUACUGGCAGUGUGCUUACCUUGACUUGGCUGAGUGGAGUCGGGCAGUGACACUUUCUCGGCAAGUUCCCUCCUUCCUCCCUUGGGCUGCGGGGCACCUUCCACCUCCAGCUCCGGGAUCUAGCUCUCUGGUUCAGAAUAUCAGAGGGUUAGAGGCUUAGGAGGGUAUAUCCAAGAUUAGGGUUAGCAGGGCUUAGGUCUAUAAAAACUAAGCUUGUGAUUUGACCCCAAGGAGAGGUGGCA
This 535-nucleotide long non-coding RNA is filed under the name Phoenix dactylifera (date palm). Its description in RNAcentral is "long non-coding RNA (PDAC_LNC017108)". Lineage: Eukaryota; Viridiplantae; Streptophyta; Magnoliopsida; Arecales; Arecaceae. The record is from RNAcentral.